Molecule: ribosomal RNA, 1117 nt
Filed under: Escherichia coli P0299917.5
Lineage: Bacteria; Pseudomonadati; Pseudomonadota; Gammaproteobacteria; Enterobacterales; Enterobacteriaceae
Description: bacterial SSU rRNA
Rfam family: Bacterial small subunit ribosomal RNA
Source: RNAcentral
AGAGUUUGAUCAUGGCUCAGAUUGAACGCUGGCGGCAGGCCUAACACAUGCAAGUCGAACGGUAACAGGAAACAGCUUGCUGUUUCGCUGACGAGUGGCGGACGGGUGAGUAAUGUCUGGGAAACUGCCUGAUGGAGGGGGAUAACUACUGGAAACGGUAGCUAAUACCGCAUAACGUCGCAAGACCAAAGAGGGGGACCUUCGGGCCUCUUGCCAUCGGAUGUGCCCAGAUGGGAUUAGCUAGUAGGUGGGGUAACGGCUCACCUAGGCGACGAUCCCUAGCUGGUCUGAGAGGAUGACCAGCCACACUGGAACUGAGACACGGUCCAGACUCCUACGGGAGGCAGCAGUGGGGAAUAUUGCACAAUGGGCGCAAGCCUGAUGCAGCCAUGCCGCGUGUAUGAAGAAGGCCUUCGGGUUGUAAAGUACUUUCAGCGGGGAGGAAGGGAGUAAAGUUAAUACCUUUGCUCAUUGACGUUACCCGCAGAAGAAGCACCGGCUAACUCCGUGCCAGCAGCCGCGGUAAUACGGAGGGUGCAAGCGUUAAUCGGAAUUACUGGGCGUAAAGCGCACGCAGGCGGUUUGUUAAGUCAGAUGUGAAAUCCCCGGGCUCAACCUGGGAACUGCAUCUGAUACUGGCAAGCUUGAGUCUCGUAGAGGGGGGUAGAAUUCCAGGUGUAGCGGUGAAAUGCGUAGAGAUCUGGAGGAAUACCGGUGGCGAAGGCGGCCCCCUGGACGAAGACUGACGCUCAGGUGCGAAAGCGUGGGGAGCAAACAGGAUUAGAUACCCUGGUAGUCCACGCCGUAAACGAUGUCGACUUGGAGGUUGUGCCCUUGAGGCGUGGCUUCCGGAGCUAACGCGUUAAGUCGACCGCCUGGGGAGUACGGCCGCAAGGUUAAAACUCAAAUGAAUUGACGGGGGCCCGCACAAGCGGUGGAGCAUGUGGUUUAAUUCGAUGCAACGCGAAGAACCUUACCUGGUCUUGACAUCCACGGAAGUUUUCAGAGAUGAGAAUGUGCCUUCGGGAACCGUGAGACAGGUGCUGCAUGGCUGUCGUCAGCUCGUGUUGUGAAAUGUUGGGUUAAGUCCCGCAACGAGCGCAACCCUUAUCCUUUG